UGGGGAAUAUUGCGCAAUGGGCGAAAGCCUGACGCAGCAACGCCGCGUGGGUGAAGAAGGUCUUCGGAUCGUAAAGCCCUGUCAGAUGGGAAGAAACCUGCGCAAGCAGCUGACGGUACCAUCAGAGGAAGCACCGGCUAACUCCGUGCCAGCAGCCGCGGUAAUACGGAGGGUGCAAGCGUUGUUCGGAAUUACUGGGCGUAAAGGGUGCGUAGGCGGCUUUACAAGCCUGAUGUGAAAGCCCGGGGCUCAACCCCGGAAGUGCAUUGGGAACUGUAGAGCUUGAGUUCGGGAGAGGAGGGCAGAAUUCCUGGUGUAGGGGUGAAAUCCGUAGAUAUCAGGAGGAAAACCAGUGGCGAAGGCGGCCCUCUGGAACGUAACUGACGCUGAGGCACGAAAG
This 400-nucleotide ribosomal RNA is filed under the name uncultured bacterium. RNAcentral describes it as "bacterial SSU rRNA". It matches the Rfam family "Bacterial small subunit ribosomal RNA", at positions 355 to 759 of the family's 1533-position model. The record is from RNAcentral.